CCAGACUCCUACGGGAGGCAGCAGUGGGGAAUUUUGGACAAUGGGCGCAAGCCUGAUCCAGCUAUUCCGCGUGUGGGAUGACGGCCCUCGGGUUGUAAACCACUUUAGUAGAGAACGAAAAGGAGCUAUCGAAUAAAUAGCUCUGCUGACGGUACUCUAAGAAUAAGCACCGGCAAACUUCGUGCCAGCAGCCGCGGUAAUACGAAGGGUGCGAGCGUUGUUCGGAAUUACUGGGCGUAAAGGGAGUGUAGGCGGAUAUGUAAGAUAGCGGUGAAAUGCCGGGGCUCAACCCCGGAACUGCCAUUAUGACUAUGUAUCUAGAGUAAUGGAGAGGAUAGCGGAAUACCCAGUGUAGAGGUGAAAUUCGUAGAUAUUGGGUAGAACACCGGUGGCGAAGGCGGCUAUCUGGCCAUUUACUGACGCUGAGGCUCGAAAGCAUGGGGAUCAAACAGGAUUAGAUACCCUCGUA
Molecule: ribosomal RNA, 469 nt
Filed under: uncultured bacterium
Lineage: Bacteria
Description: bacterial SSU rRNA
Rfam family: Bacterial small subunit ribosomal RNA
Source: RNAcentral